UACGGGGGGGGCAAGCGUUGUUCGGAAUUACUGGGCGUAAAGGGCGCGUAGGCGGCCUGCUAAGUCACACGUGAAAUCCCUCGGCUCAACCGGGGAACUGCGUGUGAUACUGGCGGGCUUGAAUUCGGGAGAGGGAUGUGGAAUUCCAGGUGUAGCGGUGAAAUGCGUAGAUAUCUGGAGGAAUACCGGUGGCGAAGGCGGCAUCCUGGACCGGCAUUGACGCUGAGUGAGCGAAAGCUAGGGGAGCAAACGGG
This 254-nucleotide ribosomal RNA is filed under the name uncultured bacterium. RNAcentral describes it as "partial 16S ribosomal RNA". It matches the Rfam family "Bacterial small subunit ribosomal RNA", at positions 524 to 776 of the family's 1533-position model. The record is from RNAcentral.